AACGAACGCUGGCGGCAUGCCUAACACAUGCAAGUCGAACGAUACCUUCGGGUCUAGUUGCGCACGGGUGCGUAACGCGUGGGAAUCUACCCUCAGGUUCGGAAUAACUCAGAGAAAUUUGAGCUAAUACCGGAUGAUUACUUAAGUCCAAAGAUUUAUCGCCUGAGGAUGAGCCCGCGUAGGAUUAGGUAGUUGGUGAGGUAAAGGCUCACCAAGCCGACGAUCCUUAGCUGGUCUGAGAGGAUGAUCAGCCACACUGGGACUGAGACACGGCCCAGACUCCUACGGGAGGAAGAAGUGGGGAAUAUUGGACAAUGGGCGAAAGACUGAUCCAGCAAUGCCGCGUGAGUGAUGAAGGACUUAGGGUUGUAAAGCUCUUUUAAAAGGGAUGAUAAUGACAGUACCGGGAGAAUAAGCGCCGGCUAACUCCGUG
Molecule: ribosomal RNA, 433 nt
Filed under: uncultured bacterium
Lineage: Bacteria
Description: partial 16S ribosomal RNA
Rfam family: Bacterial small subunit ribosomal RNA
Source: RNAcentral